UCCUGGUGGCUCAGUGGUAAAGAAUCUGCCUGCAAUGCAGAAGAUCCAGAUUCAAUCCCUGGGUCAGGAA
RNAcentral lists this transfer RNA (70 nucleotides) under Bos taurus (domestic cattle). It matches the Rfam family "tRNA". From Rfam's summary of the family: Transfer RNA (tRNA) molecules are approximately 80 nucleotides in length. Their secondary structure includes four short double-helical elements and three loops (D, anti-codon, and T loops). The record is from Rfam by way of RNAcentral. Lineage: Eukaryota; Metazoa; Chordata; Mammalia; Artiodactyla; Bovidae.